UACGGAGGGAGCUAGCGUUGUUCGGAAUUACUGGGCGUAAAGCGCGCGUAGGCGGCUAUUUAAGUCAGAGGUGAAAGCCCGGGGCUCAACCCCGGAAUUGCCUUUGAGACUGGAUAGCUAGAAUCCUGGAGAGGUGAGUGGAAUUCCGAGUGUAGAGGUGAAAUUCGUAGAUAUUCGGAAGAACACCAGUGGCGAAGGCGGCUCACUGGACAGGUAUUGACGCUGAGGUGCGAAAGCGUGGGGAGCAAACAGG
This 253-nucleotide ribosomal RNA is filed under the name uncultured bacterium. Its description in RNAcentral is "partial 16S ribosomal RNA". It matches the Rfam family "Bacterial small subunit ribosomal RNA", at positions 524 to 776 of the family's 1533-position model. The record is from RNAcentral.